RNAcentral lists this ribosomal RNA (819 nucleotides) under Otidea bicolor. RNAcentral describes it as "eukaryotic LSU rRNA". It matches the Rfam family "Eukaryotic large subunit ribosomal RNA", at positions 72 to 904 of the family's 3401-position model. The record is from RNAcentral. Lineage: Eukaryota; Fungi; Ascomycota; Pezizomycetes; Pezizales; Pyronemataceae.
GGAUUGCCUUAGUAACUGCGAGUGAAGCGGCAAAAGCUCAAAUUUGAAAUCGGAUGUUUUUGACAUUUGAAUUGUAAUUUGGAGGGAUAUCUUCGGAGCUGGCGCUGUCCUAAGUUCUUUGGAACCAGACAUCAUAGAGGGUGAGAAUCCCGUGCCUGGGUGGCUGUCCAGUUUCAUGUGAAGUGUCUCCGACGAGUCGAGUUGUUUGGGAAUGCAGCUCAAAAUGGGUGGUAAAUUUCAUCUAAAGCUAAAUAUUGGCGAGAGACCGAUAGCGCACAAGUAGAGUGAUCGAAAGAUGAAAAGCACUUUGAAAAGAGAGUUAAACAGUACGUGAAAUUGUUGAAAGGGAAGCGCUUGAGACUAGAUUCGGCCGGCGGUCAUCAGCUACGUUUCUACGUGGUGCACUUGCCGUCGGUUGAGCCAGCAUCGAUUUUGAUGGCGGGAUAAAGGUUUCAGGAAUGUGGCUCCUCAAUUUCGAGGAGUGUUAUAGCCUGGAGCGCAAUGCCGCCUGUCGGGAUCGAGGACCGCGCUUUUGCUAGGAUGCUGGCUAAAAGGUCUUAAGCGGCCCGUCUUGAAACCGGACCAAGGAGUCUAACAUCUAUGCGAGUGUUCGGGUGGAAAACCCUUGCGCGUAAUGAAAGUGAACGGAGGUGGGAACCCCUUUGGGGUGCACCAUCGACCGAUCCUGAUGUUUACGGAAGGAUUUGAGUAGGAGCAUAGCUGUUGGGACCCGAAAGAUGGUGAACUAUGCCUGAAUAGGGUGAAGCCAGAGGAAACCUUGGUGGAAGCUCGCAGCGGUUCUGACGUGCAAAUCGAUCG